GUAUCGGGAUCUGGACCGAGGCUCCUUUCGACCACGUGGCCGUCAACUCAGGUGCAGACGUGCCUGUCGUGUGCGAAGACGUAAGCCGCAAGAAACCGGCGCACACUGUGCCGUGCGUGCGUUUCUAUGGCGACAGGGGUGAGCUGAAUUACAGCGUUUACGUAUACACGGACGAACACAUCACCACCGACGAGCUCGCCUUCCGAGUACCUCAGGUCUUCAAACCACCAGGGGAGCCCAGCAAGCUUCUCACUCAUAUAUUCUCUACUCUUGCAAGAAUAAACUUCGCCCACAUUGGACUCCAGAGCAACAACGCUACUGACGUUCUUCCUGUGCAGGUGUGUACCACACUGCACUUCAUGGAACAGCUGUAACAUAACGCAAAUUAUUUAUCAGCAUAGCAAAUCUGCCGCGCUUUUGAAUGUGUAUUCCAAGAAAGGAGAGAUGAAUAGAAAUAGCUAUUCAAUGCUCU
RNAcentral lists this long non-coding RNA (472 nucleotides) under Dermacentor andersoni. RNAcentral describes it as "uncharacterized LOC126543035". Lineage: Eukaryota; Metazoa; Arthropoda; Arachnida; Ixodida; Ixodidae. The record is from RNAcentral.